RNAcentral lists this ribosomal RNA (429 nucleotides) under Chloroflexota bacterium. Its description in RNAcentral is "Chloroflexi bacterium partial 16S ribosomal RNA". It matches the Rfam family "Bacterial small subunit ribosomal RNA", at positions 355 to 776 of the family's 1533-position model. Lineage: Bacteria; Bacillati; Chloroflexota. The record is from RNAcentral.
UGGGGAAUAUUGCACAAUGGGCGCAAGCCUGAUGCAGCCAUGCCGCGUGUAUGAAGAAGGCCUUCGGGUUGUAAAGUACUUUCAGCGGGGAGGAAGGGAGUAAAGUUAAUACCUUUGCUCAUUGACGUUACCCGCAGAAGAAGCACCGGCUAACUCCGUGCCAGCAGCCGCGGUAAUACGGAGGGUGCAAGCGUUAAUCGGAAUUACUGGGCGUAAAGCGCACGCAGGCGGUUUGUUAAGUCAGAUGUGAAAUCCCCGGGCUCAACCUGGGAACUGCAUCUGAUACUGGCAAGCUUGAGUCUCGUAGAGGGGGGUAGAAUUCCAGGUGUAGCGGUGAAAUGCGUAGGAAUCUGGGGGAAUACCGGUGGCGAAAGCGGCCCCCUGGACGAAGACUGACGCUCAGGUGCGAAAGCGUGGGGAGCAAACAGG